This 837-nucleotide ribosomal RNA is filed under the name Candidatus Phytoplasma solani. RNAcentral describes it as "bacterial SSU rRNA". It matches the Rfam family "Bacterial small subunit ribosomal RNA", at positions 399 to 1247 of the family's 1533-position model. Lineage: Bacteria; Bacillati; Mycoplasmatota; Mollicutes; Acholeplasmatales; Acholeplasmataceae. The record is from RNAcentral.
CGUUGACUGAUGAAGUAUUUCGGUACGUAAAGUUCUUUUAUUAGGGAAGAAAAGAUGGUGGAAAAACCAUUAUGACGGUACCUAAUGAAUAAGCCCCGGCUAACUAUGUGCCAGCAGCCGCGGUAAUACAUAGGGGGCAAGCGUUAUCCGGAAUUAUUGGGCGUAAAGGGUGCGUAGGCGGUUAAAUAAGUUUAUGGUCUAAGUGCAACGCUCAACGUUGUGAUGCUAUAAAAACUGUUUAGCUAGAGUUGGAUAGAGGCAAGUGGAAUUCCGUGUGUAGUGGUAAAAUGCGUAAAUAUACGGAGGAACACCAGAAGCGAAGGCGGCUUGCUGGGUCUUAACUGACGCUGAGGCACGAAAGCGUGGGGAGCAAACAGGAUUAGAUACCCUGGUAGUCCACGCCCUAAACGAUGAGUACUAAACGUUGGAUAAAACCAGUGUUGAAGUUAACACAUUAAGUACUCCGCCUGAGUAGUACGUACGCAAGUAUGAAACUUAAAGGAAUUGACGGGACUCCGCACAAGCGGUGGAUCAUGUUGUUUAAUUCGAAGGUACCCGAAAAACCUCACCAGGUCUUGACAUGCUUUUGCAAAGCUGUAGAAAUACAGUGGAGGUUAUCAGAAGCACAGGUGGUGCAUGGUUGUCGUCAGCUCGUGUCGUGAGAUGUUGGGUUAAGUCCCGCAACGAGCGCAACCCUUGUUGUUAAUUGCCAUCAUUAAGUUGGGGACUUUAGCAAGACUGCCAAUGAUAAAUUGGAGGAAGGUGGGGACGACGUCAAAUCAUCAUGCCCCUUAUGACCUGGGCUACAAACGUGAUACAAUGGCUGUUACAAAAGAU